UACAGAGGGGGCAAGCGUUAUUCGGAAUUAUUGGGCGUAAAGCGCGUGUAGGCGGCUUUGCAAGUCGGGUGUGAAAGCCCUCGGCUCAACCGAGGAAGUGCGCCCGAAACUGCAGAGCUUGAGUACCGGAGAGGAUGGCGGAAUUCCCCAAGUAGAGGUGAAAUUCGUAGAUAUGGGGAGGAACACCGGUGGCGAAGGCGGCCAUCUGGACGGAUACUGACGCUGAGACGCGAAAGCGUGGGUAGCAAACAGG
This 253-nucleotide ribosomal RNA is filed under the name uncultured bacterium. Its description in RNAcentral is "partial 16S ribosomal RNA". It matches the Rfam family "Bacterial small subunit ribosomal RNA", at positions 524 to 776 of the family's 1533-position model. The record is from RNAcentral.